UACGAACUGUGCAAACGUUAUUCGGAAUCACUGGGCUUAAAGGGUGCGUAGGCGGCUUGUUAAGUAGGGUGUGAAAGCCCCCGGCUCAACCGGGGAAUUGCGCCCUAAACUGGCGAGCUUGAGUGAGAUAGGGGUGUGUGGAACUUCCGGUGGAGCGGUGAAAUGUGUUGAUAUCGGAAGGAACGCCAGUGGCGAAAGCGACACACUGGGUCUCAACUGACGCUGAGGCACGAAAGCCAGGGGAGCAAACGGG
This 253-nucleotide ribosomal RNA is filed under the name uncultured bacterium. RNAcentral describes it as "partial 16S ribosomal RNA". It matches the Rfam family "Bacterial small subunit ribosomal RNA", at positions 524 to 776 of the family's 1533-position model. The record is from RNAcentral.